GACGAACGCUGGCGGCGUGCUUAACACAUGCCAGUCGAACGGAAAGGCCUCUUUCGUGUGGUACUCGAGUGGCGAACGGGUGAGUAACACGCGAGUAACUUGCCCUUUACUUUGGGAUAAGUUCCGGAAACGGGGGUUAAUACAGGAUAGGAGCUCUUGCUUCAUGUUGGCGGCUGGAAAGUAUUGGCGGUUGGGGAUUGCCUCGCGGCGUAUCAGCUUGUUGGUGGGGUGGUGGCUUAUCAAGGCUUUGACGGGUAGCCGGACUGAAAGGGUGAGCGGGCACAAUGAGACUGAGAGACGGCCAAGACCCCUACGGGAAGCAGAAGUGGCAAAGAUUGAAAGAUGGGUAGAAGCGUGAUGCAGAAACGGCGUGGGCGGGUGGACGGACUUGGAGUUGGAUAGCGGUUUCGCUCAUGACGAAGCUUAGUGUGACGGUAGUUGGUAAAGAAGCACCGGCUAACUACGUG
This 467-nucleotide ribosomal RNA is filed under the name uncultured bacterium. RNAcentral describes it as "partial 16S ribosomal RNA". It matches the Rfam family "Bacterial small subunit ribosomal RNA", at positions 28 to 507 of the family's 1533-position model. The record is from RNAcentral.